This 624-nucleotide long non-coding RNA is filed under the name Taeniopygia guttata (zebra finch). RNAcentral's name for it is "lncRNA (ENSTGUG00000024001.1)". The record is from RNAcentral. Lineage: Eukaryota; Metazoa; Chordata; Aves; Passeriformes; Estrildidae.
GUUAAAUAUUUAUGUACACAGUGUGGAAGGUUUUCAGAAAAUACCAGAAGUUAACUCUCGUAUCUCUGGAAAUACUGAGAAACAGACGGAUAACCAUGGAUGAAGAAGCAUGGGUGCAAAGUGAUAACCUUUCAAGCUGGCAAGUCCCCAGAAAUUCAGUCCGAAUUGAUCCUGAAACUAAACCACAGGCCACCAUGCACUCCGCUGUUCUACCAGGCAGUGUUAUUGAUUAUCCAGAGGACGUACAGGAACAUCCUUCCUGUGUGAUUGAAAGCGUCGUGGAAGACACACCUGAGGAGGCACUUUUGUUAACAGACAGAGGGGGAAACUCAUGGUGGCACAAGCUUGGAAUGAAUAUAAACAAGUGGUCAUUUCUGAAUUCCUUGAUUGGAUGGAGUGAAGACAGAACUCAAGAAAAAGAUCAGUUUACCACAUCUGGAGUUUGUUCUGCUGCUGAUCACAAAGAAACUGAGUUGGAGGAAUGUGCAACCAAAGAAGUGCCAUACAUUCCAUACAGCUUAGCUACACUGCAUAUCAUCAAGAUCACAACAUUAAAAAGGAAGAAGUGGAGGUUGGGACCAAAAGAAAAUUCCAUUUCAAGUUAUUCACAGACUUUUAUUCAAU